UACGUAGGGUCCGAGCGUUGUCCGGAAUUACUGGGCGUAAAGAGCUCGUAGGCGGUUUGUCGCGUUGUUCGUGAAAGCUCACAGCUCAACUGUGGGCGUGCGGGCGAUACGGGCAGACUAGAGUACUGCAGGGGAGACUGGAAUUCCUGGUGUAGCGGUGGAAUGCGCAGAUAUCAGGAGGAACACCGGUGGCGAAGGCGGGUCUCUGGGCAGUAACUGACGCUGAGGAGCGAAAGCGUGGGGAGCGAACAGG
This 253-nucleotide ribosomal RNA is filed under the name uncultured bacterium. RNAcentral describes it as "partial 16S ribosomal RNA". It matches the Rfam family "Bacterial small subunit ribosomal RNA", at positions 524 to 776 of the family's 1533-position model. The record is from RNAcentral.